Molecule: non-coding RNA, 385 nt
Organism: Cricetulus griseus (Chinese hamster)
Lineage: Eukaryota; Metazoa; Chordata; Mammalia; Rodentia; Cricetidae
Source: RefSeq, a predicted model, not a curated record
GCUGUAGAUGUGAGCUCUCAACAUCCUGCUUCAGUGGGCAUGCCUGCCAUGUGCUGCCAUUCUGUCUCUGCCAUUGUGGACCUAACCCUUAUAGUAUGAGCUGAGCAAUGUACAGUGCAUUGCUUCCUGUCCCUGCACUUUGACUGCUUCUUUUUCUUCUUGGGAUGCAAAUCACUUGACCAGCUUUUCCCUCCAGUAUUACUUCGGUGACAUACUGCAGCCCUCUGGCUAUGAAGACAGUGCCUCUUAAAAACUGAGUCAUAUUUUAACUGGCUGAAUUGGAUAGUUUGUUUGGAAUGUAUUUUGUGCCAUGCACUGUUUCUUUAAUGUUUUGUAAGUAAUAUAUUAUAAUGGUACUUGUAAUUCUUCACUCAUGCUACUUUUG